RNAcentral lists this ribosomal RNA (484 nucleotides) under uncultured bacterium. RNAcentral's name for it is "partial 16S ribosomal RNA". It matches the Rfam family "Bacterial small subunit ribosomal RNA", at positions 29 to 523 of the family's 1533-position model. The record is from RNAcentral.
AGUGAACGCUGGCGGCGUGCUUAACACAUGCAAGUCGAACGAGAACGGGCUAUAGCUUGCUAUAGUUGUCAGCUAAGUGGCGCACGGGUGAGUAAUGUAUAGGUAAUAUGCCUCUUACUAAGGGAUAACAAAUGGAAACGUUUGCUAAUACCUUAUACUCCUUUUAAACAGAAGUUUAAAAGGGAAAGAUUUAUUGGUAAGAGAUUAGCCUGUAUUGUAUCAGUUAGUUGGUGGGGUAAUGGCUUACCAAGACUAUGACACAUAACUGGUUUGAGAGGAUGAUCAGUCACACUGGAACUGAGACACGGUCCAGACUCCUACGGGAGGCAGCAGUGGGGAAUAUUGCACAAUGGACGAAAGUCUGAUGCAGCAACGCCGCGUGGAGGAUGACACAUUUCGGUGCGUAAACUCCUUUUAUAUGAGAAGAUAAUGACGGUAUUAUAUGAAUAAGCACCGGCUAACUCCGUGCCAGCCGCCGCCGUAA